This 490-nucleotide ribosomal RNA is filed under the name fungal endophyte. Its description in RNAcentral is "eukaryotic LSU rRNA". The stretch from base 183 to 336 matches the Rfam family "5.8S ribosomal RNA". Lineage: Eukaryota; Fungi. The record is from RNAcentral.
CAGCGGAGGGAUCAUUAACGAGUUCCAUUCUCCUUAAUACACCCGUGAACGUUUCUUCAACUGUUCGUUGCUUCGGCGGGCGGCCCCGGGGAGGGGCCGCAGCCCGCAAGGGCGCCCGCCGGCGGCAGCGCAGCACAACUCUUGCGAUUUAGGCCCCUCUGAGAAGACACUAAAUGAGUCAAAACUUUCAACAACGGAUCUCUUGGUUCUGGCAUCGAUGAAGAACGCAGCGAAAUGCGAUAAGUAAUGUGAAUUGCAGAACUCAGCGAAUCAUCGAAUCUUUGAACGCACAUUGCGCCCGCCGGCAUUCCGGCGGGCAUGCCUGUUCGAGCGUCAUUUCAACCCUCGAGCCCUGCUCGGUGUUGGGGCCCCGCGGCCGCCGCGGGCCCUGAAAAGAAGUGGCGGGCGCGCCUGGACCCGUAGCGCAGUAAUACACCUCGCUCGCGGCGUCCCGGCGCGUGCCGGCCGUAAAACCCCUUUAUCUCAAGGU